GAUGAACGCUGACAGAAUGCUUAACACAUGCAAGUCAACUUGAACUUCGGUUUGGGUGGCGGACGGGUGAGUAACGCGUACAGAACUUGCCUCACAGUUAGGGACAACAUUUGGAAACGAAUGCUAAUACCUGAUAUUAUGAUUUUAGGGCAUCCUAGAAUUAUGAAAGCUAUAUGCGCUGUGAGAGAGCUUUGCGUCCCAUUAGCUAGUUGGAGAGGUAACGGCUCACCAAGGCGAUGAGGGGUAGCCGGCCUGAGAGGGUGAACGGCCACAAGGGGACUGAGACACGGACCUUACUCCUACGGGAGGCAGCAGUGGGGAAUAUUGGACAAUGGACCAAGAGUCUGAUCGAGCAAUUCUGUGUGCAAGAUGAAGUUUUUCGGAAUGUAAAGUGCUUUCAGUUGGGAAGAAAAAAAUGACGAUACCAACAGAAGAAGUGACGGCUAAAUACGUG
Molecule: ribosomal RNA, 454 nt
Filed under: uncultured bacterium
Lineage: Bacteria
Description: partial 16S ribosomal RNA
Rfam family: Bacterial small subunit ribosomal RNA
Source: RNAcentral